This 253-nucleotide ribosomal RNA is filed under the name uncultured bacterium. RNAcentral's name for it is "partial 16S ribosomal RNA". It matches the Rfam family "Bacterial small subunit ribosomal RNA", at positions 524 to 776 of the family's 1533-position model. The record is from RNAcentral.
UACGAAGGGGGCUAGCGUUGUUCGGAAUUACUGGGCGUAAAGGGCGCGUAGGUGGCUUUGCUAGUCGGGUGUGAAAUGCCUGGGCUUAACCCAGGAACUGCACUCGAAACUCCAAGGCUUGAGUGUGGGAGAGGUUGGUGGAAUUCCCAGUGUAGAGGUGAAAUUCGUAGAUAUUGGGAAGAACACCGGUGGCGAAGGCGGCCAACUGGACCACAACUGACACUGAGGCGCGAAAGCGUGGGGAGCAAACAGG